AGAUUGAACGCUGGCGGCAUGCCUCACACAUGCAAGUCGAACGGCAGCACGGGAGCAAUCCUGGUGGCGAGUGGCGAACGGGUGAGUAAUACAUCGGAACGUGCCCAAUCGUGGGGGAUAACGCAGCGAAAGCUGUGCUAAUACCGCAUAAGAUCUACGGAUGAAAGCAGGGGAUCGCAAGACCUUGCGCGAAUGGAGCGGCCGAUGGCAGAUUAGGUAGUUGGUGAGGUAAAGGCUCACCAAGCCUUCGAUCUGUAGCUGGUCUGAGAGGACGACCAGCCACACUGGGACUGAGACACGGCCCAGACUCCGUA
This 314-nucleotide ribosomal RNA is filed under the name uncultured soil bacterium. Its description in RNAcentral is "bacterial SSU rRNA". It matches the Rfam family "Bacterial small subunit ribosomal RNA", at positions 26 to 342 of the family's 1533-position model. The record is from RNAcentral.